Molecule: ribosomal RNA, 1212 nt
Filed under: metagenome
Description: bacterial SSU rRNA
Rfam family: Bacterial small subunit ribosomal RNA
Source: RNAcentral
UCGAUGUCUAGGGGUUCUGAGAGGAUUGUCCCCCACACUGGUACUGAGACACGGACCAGACUCCUACGGGAGGCAGCAGUGAGGAAUAUUGGUCAAUGGUCGCAAGACUGAACCAGCCAUGCCGCGUGCAGGAUGAAUGCGCUAUGCGUUGUAAACUGCCUUUCUACAGGAAGAAACCUACUUACGUGUAAGUAGCUGCCGGUACUGUAGGAAUAAGCACCGGCUAACUCCGUGCCAGCAGCCGCGGUAAUACGGAGGGUGCAAGCGUUAUCCGGAUUUAUUGGGUUUAAAGGGUGCGUAGGCGGAAUAUUAAGUCAGUGGUGAAAUCCUGCGGCUCAACCGUAGAACUGCCAUUGAUACUGUUAUUCUUGAAUGUAGUUGAGGUAGGCGGAAUGUGUAAUGUAGCGGUGAAAUGCUUAGAUAUUACACAGAACACCGAUUGCGAAGGCAGCUUACUAAACUAUGAUUGACGCUGAUGCACGAAAGCGUGGGGAGCGAACAGGAUUAGAUACCCUGGUAGUCCACGCUGUAAACGAUGAUCACUCGUUGUUUGCGAUAUAUUGUAAGCGACUGAGCGAAAGCAUUAAGUGAUCCACCUGGGGAGUACGUCGGCAACGAUGAAACUCAAAGGAAUUGACGGGGGCCCGCACAAGCGGAGGAACAUGUGGUUUAAUUCGAUGAUACGCGAGGAACCUUACCUGGGUUUAAAUGUAGAUUGCAUGUACGGGAAACUGUACUUUCCUUCGGGACUAUUUACAAGGUGCUGCAUGGUUGUCGUCAGCUCGUGCCGUGAGGUGUCGGGUUAAGUCCCAUAACGAGCGCAACCCCUAUCGUUAGUUGCCAUCAGGUCAUGCUGGGGACUCUAACGAGACUGCCGGUGUAAACCGUGAGGAAGGUGGGGAUGACGUCAAAUCAGCACGGCCCUUAUAUCCAGGGCUACACACGUGUUACAAUGGUCGGUACAAAGAGCAGCCGCUUGGUGACAAGGAGCUAAUCUCAAAAGCCGAUCACAGUUCGGAUCGAAGUCUGCAACUCGACUUCGUGAAGUUGGAUUCGCUAGUAAUCGCGCAUCAGCCACGGCGCGGUGAAUACGUUCCCGGGCCUUGUACACACCGCCCGUCAAGCCAUGGAAGUUGGGGGUGCCUGAAGUCUGUAACCGCAAGGAGCGGCCUAAGGUAAAACUGAUAACUGGGGCUAAGUCGAAACAAGGUA